RNAcentral lists this ribosomal RNA (505 nucleotides) under uncultured bacterium. Its description in RNAcentral is "partial 16S ribosomal RNA". It matches the Rfam family "Bacterial small subunit ribosomal RNA", at positions 28 to 507 of the family's 1533-position model. The record is from RNAcentral.
GACGAACGCUGGCGGCGUGCCUAAUACAUGCAAGUAGAACGCACAGUUUAUACCGUAGCUUGCUACACCAUAGACUGUGAGUCGCGAACGGGUGAGUAACGCGUAGGUAACCUGCCUGGUAGCGGGGGAUAACUAUUGGAAACGAUAGCUAAUACCGCAUAAUAUUAAUUAUUGCAUGAUAAUUAAUUGAAAGGUGCAAUUGCACCACUACCAGAUGGACCUGCGUUGUAUUAGCUAGUAGGUGAGGUAACGGCUCACCUAGGCGACGAUACAUAGCCGACCUGAGAGGGUGAUCGGCCACACUGGGACUGAGACACGGCCCAGACUCCUACGGGAGGCAGCAGUAGGGAAUCUUCGGCAAUGGACGAAAGUCUGACCGAGCAACGCCGCGUGAGUGAAGAAGGUUUUCGGAUCGUAAAGCUCUGUUGUAAGAGAAGAACGGGUGUGAGAGUGGAAAGUUCACACUGUGACGGUAUCUUACCAGAAAGGGACGGCUAACUACGUG